This 253-nucleotide ribosomal RNA is filed under the name uncultured bacterium. RNAcentral's name for it is "partial 16S ribosomal RNA". It matches the Rfam family "Bacterial small subunit ribosomal RNA", at positions 524 to 776 of the family's 1533-position model. The record is from RNAcentral.
UACGGAGGGUGCGAGCGUUGUCCGGAAUCACUGGGCGUAAAGGGCGCGUAGGCGGCGCGAGCAGUCGAUCGUGAAAGUCCGGAGCUCAACUCCGGAUCGGCGGUCGAUACUCUCGUGCUUGAGCACUGUAGAGGCAGAUGGAAUUCCGGGUGUAGCGGUGGAAUGCGUAGAGAUCCGGAAGAACACCGGUGGCGAGGGCGGUCUGCUGGGCAGUUGCUGACGCUGAUGCGCGACAGCGUGGGGAGCAAACAGG